RNAcentral lists this ribosomal RNA (253 nucleotides) under uncultured bacterium. RNAcentral's name for it is "partial 16S ribosomal RNA". It matches the Rfam family "Bacterial small subunit ribosomal RNA", at positions 524 to 776 of the family's 1533-position model. The record is from RNAcentral.
GACAGAGGGGGCAAGCGUUGCUCGGAAUUACUGGGCGUAAAGGGCGCGUAGGCGGGAUGGCAAGUCGGUCGUGAAAUCCUUCGGCUCAACCGAAGAACGUCGAUCGAUACUGCUGUUCUUGAGGGUUGCAGAGGAGACUGGAAUUCCCGGUGUAGCGGUGAAAUGCGCAGAUAUCAGGAAGAACACCCGUGGCUAAGGCGGCUCUCUAGUACGGUACUGACGCUGAGACGCGAAAGCGUGGGGAGCGAACAGG